RNAcentral lists this transfer RNA (64 nucleotides) under Dendroctonus rufipennis (spruce beetle). RNAcentral describes it as "tRNA-Phe". Lineage: Eukaryota; Metazoa; Arthropoda; Insecta; Coleoptera; Curculionidae. The record is from RNAcentral.
AUUUAAGUAGCUUAUUAAUAGAGCGAGGUACUGAAGAUACCUAGGAGGUGUUAACUCUUAAAUA